This 486-nucleotide ribosomal RNA is filed under the name uncultured bacterium. RNAcentral describes it as "partial 16S ribosomal RNA". It matches the Rfam family "Bacterial small subunit ribosomal RNA", at positions 28 to 507 of the family's 1533-position model. The record is from RNAcentral.
GAUGAACGCUGGCGGCGUGCCUAAUACAUGCAAGUCGAACGCUGGAGAUCUAGCUUGCUAGAUCGAAGGAGUGGCGAACGGGUGAGUAAUACAUAAGCAACCUACCCACGAAGACUGGGAUAAUCUCUGGAAACGGGGACUAAUACCGGAUAGGUAAUCGGAAGGCAUCUUCUGGUUAUUAAAGGUUAAAAACACUGGUGGAUGGGCUUAUGGCGCAUUAGUUAGUUGGUGAGGUAACGGCCCACCAAGACGAUGAUGCGUAGCCGGCCUGAGAGGGUGAACGGCCACAUUGGGACUGAGACACGGCCCAGACUCCUACGGGAGGCAGCAGUAGGGAAUUUUCGGCAAUGGGGGCAACCCCGACCGAGCAACGCCGCGUGAGUGAAGACGGCCUUCGGGGUGUAAAGCUCUGUUGUAAGGGAAGAACGGUAGAUAGAGAAUAUCUAAGUGACGGUACCUUACCAGAAAGCCACGGCUAACUACGUG